UGUGAUUUUCCAGGUAUCUUGCCGGAAGA
Molecule: non-coding RNA, 29 nt
Filed under: Rattus norvegicus (Norway rat)
Lineage: Eukaryota; Metazoa; Chordata; Mammalia; Rodentia; Muridae
Source: RNAcentral